RNA transcript from Pezoporus flaviventris, 4379 nucleotides. It is a transcript of the gene named zinc finger and BTB domain containing 46, with no coding region annotated. The transcript has 12 exons. NCBI's taxonomy places the organism in Eukaryota, Metazoa, Chordata, Aves, Psittaciformes, Psittacidae. The record is from RefSeq and is a predicted model, not a curated record.
CGCUACCAUCGCCCCCUGCCCACCCAGCCAGCCCCGCGGGCACAACCCGCCCCGGGGCGGGGGGAAGCGGGGGGGCCGGUCGCUCUGUGCCUACGGAAGGGGGCACGGUGCCUUCUUUGGGACGCGAUGGCUUAUUUGGUGUGGGGUGGAUGGCUUAACUUGCUGGUAAUUUCUGCUGCGUCAACACCCAGCUCAAGGGAGAGGAGCAGAGACAAGGGGGCAUUUUAACAGCAGCUCCACUUGCGAAUAGCCAAGCCUCAAUCCCGGCUCCAGCAUUCAAACCCUUUCCCCCCCCCCAAAAAAAAACCCAGCAUCCGUGCAAGUUGGACCAAGAGUUUGUCAGGAGCGUGGUUCCAAACUGCUUGGGAUAAAGGGAUGAGGACGUCUGGUGAGCCCUUUGGAGGUUGUCAGCAGAGCCCAUUCUCCUCUCUUCAUUAAAACAUGCACUUUCCAGCUGUGAAACAUCGCGACAUUUGUUUUUGCUAACAGGAAACAUUUUCAACUGUUGUUCUGUCCUUCUCCUGCAAGAAGUCCCAGCAGUGAUAUCGGAAGGUCAAAGACUGGUGCACUACCUGUGCUGCCCUAGGGCUGUUGAUGUCCUCAGCUGUUGUAGGAGAAACACCAGACCUGGAACCCAGUUUGUUACUGGACUUGUGGAAGAGGAAACACAAAGAUUUCCAGAUGAAUAACCGCAAGGAAGAUAUGGAGAUCGCGUCCCACUACCGGCACCUGCUGCGGGAGCUGAACGAGCAGAGGCAGCACGGCAUCCUCUGCGACGUCUGCAUCAUAGUGGAGGGGAAGAUAUUUAAGGCUCACAAAAACGUUCUGCUUGGGAGUAGUCGUUACUUCAAAACACUCUACUGCCAGGUACAGAAAACCUCUGACCAGGCCACUGUCACCCACCUGGACAUCGUGACUGCACAAGGCUUUAAAGCCAUCAUUGACUUCAUGUACUCCGCACACCUCGCGCUGACCAGCCGCAACGUCAUCGAGGUGAUGUCAGCUGCGAGUUACCUGCAGAUGACAGACAUUGUCCAGGCCUGUCACAACUUCAUCAAAGCAGCUCUUGACAUAAGCAUAAAGUCUGAUGCUUCAGAUGAUCUCGUUGAUUAUGAGCUUGGAGCCCCCUCCAGCAGCAGUACGGAUGCUCUGAUUUCAGCAGUGGUGGCUGGCAGGAGUAUAUCUCCCUGGUUAGCGCGGCGCACGAGCCCUGCAAACUCGUCUGGAGACUCAGCCAUUGCCAGCUGCCAUGAAGGAGGGAGCAGCUAUGGCAAAGAGGAUCAAGAACCAAAACCAGAUGGCCACGAAGACAUUUCAUCCCAGUCUCUUUGGUCUAGUGACAUGGGCUAUGGCUCUUUACGGAUCAAGGAGGAACAGGUUUCGCCGUCGCAUUACGGAGGGAGCGAACUGCAUUCUGGCAAGGAUAGUGCAAUACAGACUGUGUUCUCAGAGCAAGGAGUAGGGGACGGCUGGCAGCCCACGGGGCGCAGGAAGAACAGGAAAAACAAAGACACUGUGAGGCAUAUCACACAGCAAGUGGAGGAGGACAGCAGGGCAAGCUCUCCAAUGCCAUCGUUCUUACCUGCUUCAGGAUGGCCCUACAGCAGUCGAGACCCCAGUGCUGAGGUGCCGGUGCCGGAGCCCAGCAGCUCUGACAGCAGAGUGGAGGAAGCGCUCCUCACCGGGGAGGGCACGUACAUCCCGCAGCCGCUGACGCCGGAGAAGGAGGAUGUGCUCCAGGCUGCCACCGUGGCCAACCUGCGCGCGGCUCUCAUGAGCAAGAACAGCUUGCUGUCCCUGAAAGCCGACAUGCUGGGAGAGGACAGCUCUCUGCUCUUCGAGUACCUGCCCAAAGGCACCCACUCCCUCUCCCGGCCUGGCACCAACUUGAAUCAUCCAAGGGGCGAAAGUGAUGGCAAAGUGGAAGCACCAUCUCCCCCGCUGCCUUCAUCACACCUUGCCACUCAGAGCCCCCCCGAGGCCUGCUCCUCUGGUGGCAUGUCACCAGAAACCAUGGCAAAAGGAGAGGUGCCUUCCUCCACCCAGGCCGCUUACGAUGGACUUUUAGCACUUUGGCAGUUUGAUAACUCUGAUUCAGAUACGAGCUUCUCCAGAUCCGAAGACAUGGAUGGAACCACUGAUGGCCUCUGCCAGGAUUCCAGCCUCGCCAAGAGGCUGACCUGUGGUUUCUGCAGGAGGGUUUUCCAGCAUGCUGAAGAGCUGAAGGAGCACAUCCAUGAACAUGCCUUCUCCAUGCUUUUCCCAUUGGACUUGGUUGACUGCCCCCGGCCGGGCCUCACUGACAGAGUGCUUCCCAAUCCGCUCUCCCGCUUCCAGUGCUCCCAGUGCCCUGCCACCUUCACUCUGAAAUCCAACAUGGAUCGGCACGAGAAGUCCAUCCACUUCCAUUUCAACGAGUUCACAGUCAUCAGGAAGAAGUUCAAGUGCCCCUACUGCAGUUUCUCAGCCAUGCACCAGUGCAUCCUGAAGAGACACAUGCGAUCCCACACGGGAGAGAGGCCCUAUCCCUGCGAGAUCUGCGGCAAGAAGUUCACGCGCCGGGAGCACAUGAAGCGGCACACGUUGGUCCACAGCAAAGACAAGAAGUACGUGUGCAAGGUGUGCAACCGAGUGUUCAUGUCCGCGGCCAGCGUGGGGAUAAAGCACGGCUCCCGCCGCCACGGCGUCUGUGCCGACUGCUCUGGCCGAGGCAUAGCCGCUCACCUGGACCACAACGGGGGAGAAGGCUCUCCAGACGAGUGCUACCCCGGCGAAGGGCAGUACAUGGAAGACCCGGACGACAUCAAAGUGGAAGGAGACGAGGAGAUGGGAGACGACGACGACAUCAAGUGGAAGGACGACGUGGGAAUGUCGCAGGAUGAUGUGAUUUUAGAUGACGACAAGGACGUCGACUCUCCGCAGGAGCAGGACCACUCUGGGGAGAACGACAAGGAUUUUACCUGGAUUUCUUAGGGAUUCCUUUGUUUGUUUGGGGUUUUUUUUUUUGUUCCGCUCUCUUGUUUGUAGGGGGAGGGAGGGUGGGAAGGAAGGAGUGUGUCGGAAAAGAAACUUAAGUAGCCUUGUUGUCGUCCAUGUGUGCAAAAUAACUCUCGUGUUUUCUAAACCGGUCCUUCUCUGUCCCGCUCCGAUACUGUCUUAGCAGGGUCGCUCCCAGUGGCACCACUGACUUUGCCUUCCCCCUUCUCCCUCCACCACCAGCCCCGGCCGCAGCCGUCGGGUUGAUGAGGUUGAGGGUGCGAGCACUGCGUGAUGGGAGCCUGGGUGAAGCACGAGUCCUCCCUCCCUUCCCACCCUGACCCUGUGUGGGGAGAGCUCUGUGUCCAAAGCAGGUUGUUUUCGUGGUGGUUGGGUUUUUGUUUCUUUCCUCUAUUCUGUUUAACACCUUGUCUGUGUGCUGAAUCCCAGCAGCAGUGGGAUUACAAGCUGGUGUUGGGAAAGCAGGUUGAUGGAUGUGUUGGAGGGCUUCCCUUGGUGAUACAGGCCUUUUGGCAAAGGUGUUGGAAGAGAGUUUUAAUUGUUUUUUUAUGGAGCCAAAUAGAUCAAAAGGCAAGUCAGAUUAGAGCCUUACGGAGUCUUCUCUUGGACUCUCAGCUUCCAAAAGAGUCACCAUCAAACAGAGGAAGAUGAUGACGUUUCUUGGACCUACUGGUGUCAUGCCCACGUCCUGUCUUCCAGCCUUGGUUAUCCACAGGCGCUGCAAUGCAUGUUGGUGCUCCCAGAAGCACCCUUUGCUGUAAAGGACACAGCUCCACCUAACUGACAGCAGCAGUGCACGUUGGAAGUGUCUCGCUCCUGAGCAGAAGCUGGUUUUUACCCUUCACCUCUUUGCUUCUGGUGCUUUUUGAGCUGACGACCUCACUCUUUUCCUUGCCACGGAGCAGUUGUACACCCUGCCUGUGACGGUGGUUCUGGCCCAGAAGACAACCCGUUACCAGAAAGCCAAAUGACUUAACGGUGCUAUUUUCCCCCCGUGGUGGGACAGGUGAUCCCAGUGGGAUGGAGAAUGUUCUUGCAGGUCUGGUGGUCCGUAGUGAAAAGCCUGGUUCCAUCCAGUGAUGGAAAUACCCAGUGUCUUGUACAGUAAACCCCAGUUAAAGCAAACAGUCUGGAAGGACUGCAGCCACUCGGUGCCGGGAUUUGAUGGAGUGUGGUGGGAACCUCAAUCCUGGCACCUGCAGUAGCUGGUUCUUCAUUCACUCCCUGAUCUCAGGCACAUCCUGGGUUUGUGGCAUUUAUUCCUCUCUCUGCUCCUCAGUUCCUGGCAGAAUUCCCUUUAUGGGGAAUCUCCAGCAGCUCCUGAGCUGUUGCUUCGGGUGCCCGCUGGGGAUUCGGAAACACGGAUCUUCCCUGGAAUCCUC